GGCCAGUUAGCUCAGUGGUUUGAGCGCGGUGCAGACAACAGUGAGCGACACCGAGGUCGUGGGUUCGAUUCCUGCUCAGUCCC
This 83-nucleotide transfer RNA is filed under the name Apaloderma vittatum (bar-tailed trogon). It matches the Rfam family "tRNA". Rfam says of the family: Transfer RNA (tRNA) molecules are approximately 80 nucleotides in length. Their secondary structure includes four short double-helical elements and three loops (D, anti-codon, and T loops). Lineage: Eukaryota; Metazoa; Chordata; Aves; Trogoniformes; Trogonidae. The record is from Rfam by way of RNAcentral.